CAGUGCCAUGUCGAAAGGGCAU
This 22-nucleotide microRNA is filed under the name Gekko japonicus. RNAcentral's name for it is "Gja-Mir-130-P1c_3p (mature (guide))". The record is from RNAcentral. Lineage: Eukaryota; Metazoa; Chordata; Lepidosauria; Squamata; Gekkonidae.